AAGUCGUAAAAGGUUUCCGUAGGUGAACCUGCGGAAGGAUCAUUAACACGUAUAAACCCCCCGUGAACCUUUAUUGCGAACCACGCCUUUGUUAAUCGCCGAACAGUUUUGAUUCAGUGGAUCUCUGCGAAGAGAGCGGUUGUACGAGGUAAGUGGCGGGGCAACAAGACUGUCUUGAAGUGUCACUAGCUCUGUACGGAUGGCGCAGGCACGAUCGCUGGAGGCCGACACGGCCGGUGAUCGGGCAUAGCCCCCUAUCACCCCUUGCAUGAAAACGGGCCUGCGCUUAAUUGUGCCUCGAACAACUGUUACCAAUGGAUAUCUUGGUUCUC
Molecule: unclassified non-coding RNA, 332 nt
Filed under: fungal sp.
Lineage: Eukaryota; Fungi
Description: partial internal transcribed spacer region
Rfam family: Eukaryotic small subunit ribosomal RNA (bases 1-45)
Source: RNAcentral